GAUGAACGCUGGCGGCGUGCCUAAUACAUGCAAGUCGAGCGAACGGACGAGAAGCUUGCUUCUCUGAUGUUAGCGGCGGACGGGUGAGUAACACGUGGAUAACCUACCUAUAAGACUGGGAUAACUUCGGGAAACCGGAGCUAAUACCGGAUAAUAUUUUGAACCGCAUGGUUCAAAAGUGAAAGACGGUCUUGCUGUCACUUAUAGAUGGAUCCGCGCUGCAUUAGCUAGUUGGUAAGGUAACGGCUUACCAAGGCAACGAUGCAUAGCCGACCUGAGGGAGUGAUCGGCCACACUGGAACUGAGACACGGUCCAGACUCCUACGGGAGGCAGCAAUAGGGAAUCUUCCGCAAUGGGCGAAAGCCUGACGGAGCAACGCCGCGUGAGUGAUGAAGGUCUUCGGAUCGUAAAACUCUGUUAUUAGGGAAGAACAUAUGUGUAAGUAACUGUGCACAUCUUGACGGUACCUAAUCAGAAAGCCACGGCUAACUACGUG
This 497-nucleotide ribosomal RNA is filed under the name uncultured bacterium. RNAcentral's name for it is "partial 16S ribosomal RNA". It matches the Rfam family "Bacterial small subunit ribosomal RNA", at positions 28 to 507 of the family's 1533-position model. The record is from RNAcentral.